UAUGAUGGCCAUACCAAUCUGAACAAGCCCAAUCCCAUCUUAUCUCGGAAGCUAAGCAGGGUCGGGCCUGGUUAGUACUUGGAUGGGAGACCACCUAGGAAGACCAGGAGCUGUAGGUG
RNAcentral lists this ribosomal RNA (119 nucleotides) under Pteropus alecto (black flying fox). Lineage: Eukaryota; Metazoa; Chordata; Mammalia; Chiroptera; Pteropodidae. The record is from RNAcentral.